AUGAAGAAACACCAGUGGACACACUCAGUGGACACACUCAGUGGACACAUCAAUGGACACAUUAUGAAGAAACACCAGUGGACACACCAAUGGACAGAUUAUGAGGACACACCAGUGGACACACACUCAGCUGUCAGAGGACACACCAGUGGACACACGCCUGUCCAGAUGUUUAUAAAAGCCCUGUUGUACUUGACCUCCACCUCCUCCAGGGCUGCCCUCUCGUCUAAUUCUCCUGCUAAUGAGACACAUGGAAAUCGAAAUGAUUUAAGGCCGCGUUUAUUCUUCACUCUGAUGCUCCUCGUUUUGUCUUCCCUCGAAGGCGUGGAUUUGUAUUUGUCUGGGCCACACGAGGCUGGAAGGAAUCGACGGCAGCUCAUCUGUUUUGCAGUGUUUUCACAAAGCUUCGGAGGCAGAGGUUUGUGGCACGGAAUCAGGCCGGAAAAUUCGGGGUACUUCUGUGCAGGGUUAGAGAGCCGAGGUUCAAAGCACUGAGGCAGGGACACCGCGUAUUGAUGUGUGUCUCUAUAUAUAACCAUCUCGUUGGCCGCUUCGUACAACGGGGCUCCCCGGCCGCCUGUGUGAGCGAGGCAGGGCUCGGGCGGCGCUUUUCCAGCACUGGGCUUCUGCUCGGUCCUGCGGUUUCGAAACAGGAUGGGCGGGUGCGCUGGGUGCUGUAGCUUCGCUUCAAGACGUUCAGCUUUGUGUUACCAGGAGGAGGGGAGGGGAGGGGGUUGGGUGGAGGGGUGCUUAAGCAAGUACCAUGACAUCCCAGGACCGCGAGGUAAGAAAAUACGUUCAAUAUCAAAUAGGUCCAACAAGAAAAGCACACCAGGACAAGUUGUCGUCUGCUCACGCAGACAGGCAAACGGCAGAUUGGAUUAAAUUUCACUUCUUUCGAUUGAUAUCUAUUGUUCCACACUCAUUGGUGUCAAAAUCGGUCACGUAUUGGUAGGUUCAUUAGCUGUGCUGUGCCCAACCCGUAGAUCCUCCCUCUGUUUCGGCUGUGAGCCGGCUGCGGGUCGGCUUGUUUCUGUUCGUAAAGACCCGGCGAACAGGCCGAGCCCCGCCCUGGACCCACUGGAGACCCCAGCAUCGGACACAGCGCUGGGGGAAACAGGGACGUGGGUCUUGUGUUCAGAGGAAGAAACAUUGUCACAGCUGAUUCAACUCUUUGCCGAAGGUUCUCGGCUUUGAUGAAGAUAGGGAUGACCUUGUUGGGUCGCCCAUUGAUGUUUUUCAAAGAAUUAUUGGUUUAUUAUUAUUUUAACCCAGCCUGAAGGCUGGAAUCUCUGACGUGCCUUUCCGAGCCCCUUAUUAAUGAACUCAUUGAUCAGUCUAAUGAUGAAAUGUAGUCCCUUUCCAGCUGUUAAUAGGUGUGUAACUCAAACUGAGGAGCACAUCGGGAGCAGCUGAGCAGCAGAGGAGGUCUGUCUGUCCUAGAGAGGGACUACUCUGCUGCUAUAGGCCGUGGGAACUUUUGAUUUAGGAAGUUUCAUUUGCAUUAAACAGAGGACAGGGACUCCGGUGCGAUCUCAUGGCUGGGCGGUCUCGCACAAGUGCCGCUGCCGUACCCCGCUUAAGAGAGGGAUUUCAGCAAACUGCUGACUCUCUAAAGGCUGACAGUUAGACUGCAGGCGCUGGUCUCCUCUCAACGUGUGCGCCUGCUGCACGAGUCAAAGAGCGAGCUCUGGAGGGCAGCUCCAGCCCGCGCAGGCCUGUCCCCGCCCCCGCCCGCCCGCCUGCAGAAAGGCCCGGCCACUCUGGGGACUCGCCGACCGCACCAGGCCGGGGAGAGAUCGCCGAGAGCCGGGAGACGUUGAAAACGGCGGGGUGACCGGGCCUGGCCUGACAGCCGUGAGCUAGCCUGGACUAGCUCAAGGUGCAGCACUGAGAGCUGGAUUGUCUCAAUACGAUGGUAAGUGUUACAGAGUAAUUGCUAUGCCCGGUAACUGACGUGCACGCUACCUACAGGAUAGGGUAUCACGGAAGGCGGCCUACAGAGUGGCGGAGAACACUUUCCAAGGCACUGGAUAGAUGCAUCUUAUUUACUUAGAACUCAGUCCCCCGUGGUUCUACGCAAUCCGCCUCCUUAUGGGAACCCGCUGGGCCGUCUACGCGUUUCUCACUUCCUGGCUCUGGUUUCCGCGCCAGCCCGCGAUCGUGCGAAUGACGAGGUGCGUUCUGGAGCGCGGGGAGAGAUUCGGGGUGUGUGUGUGUGGCGGUGGGGGGUGGAGAGAGGUGAUUUUCUCGUCCUCCGUCGCGUCGAGGGGGAACUUGCGCUCCACCGGUGGCAUCCCAGCAGCCGCUCUGGAAAACGCGGGAUCAGACUACGUCUCGGAAACUUCAGCACCAAGUCGCCGAGGACCGUGAAAAGCAGGGCUAUGCUCUCCAGCAAUGAAGACACGGUUGCGUUUAUGAAUGUAAAUUCUUCUCGACUUGUGGUAUCGAAGAGGCUGUCUUUAGGAGGUUUUUAUUUUCUCUUUCUUUGCACACAGGAUCCUGCAAUGCAACAGCAGGCCGGACUCGUCUCAUUUUUUUUGUGCAGCCGAGCGCAUUUAUCACAAGCCCUCAAAUUAUCAGACUCACACCAUCUCUUGAGCUCUCAUGCGCUAAGUCUAAACCGGAGGUGUGAAGUCAAUCUGAGUUUUAGCCCUGCAGCACAUCUUUUUUUUUUUAGCUUCUCGCUCCUUUGAAAUUACUUUGCUAAACAAUUCAGAGAUAUUUAGCCAUUAGCGUCCACAAAAGUACUUAAAGAACAAAUUACUUAUAAAUAGCGGAGUAAGGCCCCUUUCCUGCUGUUGUUAAGAGCAAUAGAAAAGAAUCCCUCAAAACACUUGAUCAAUGUAUUAAAGGUGUAAUUACUUAUUAGUCAUAACAUAAUUAAAUUGUCACUACAACCAGUUCUGAAGGCAGUUUCUGCAAUCAGUAAUUGCCUUUCAUUGCUUCACUGUUAAAACUAAGUGCAGUUCCUAUGUCCCUGAUUCUGGAUUCUUUUUGGAUUUUGUGAAGGCGGUAUACAUUAGAUUAACAACAUCGGUUAUAAAAUAAACGCCAAGGUAUCACGUAAAAACAAAGAUGUGCAUAUCAUCUGAAGCUUAAGAUUUGUUUAACUUUUCCACACCAGGGUUUAUGGUGAGAGAAAUGUGUCACAGCCGACUACCUGCAUUUAAUUAGAGAAAAGGUAUUGCUAGUAUUAUUAGAAUUCUUGCUAUUAUUAUCAUUAACAUGCACAAAAAGUACUUACAGAACAAAUUAUAAAAAACAGGCAGCAUGGUGGGGCAGAGGGUAGGAUUGCUGGGACCCAGGGUUAAAUUCCUGGGGUGCUGUCUGUGUGGAGUUUGUAUGUUCUCUCUGCGUUUGCCUGGGUUUUCCCCAGAUGCUGUGUUUUCCUCCCACAAUCCCACAAAAGUGUACUGGUAGGUUAAUUCGCUCCUGGGGAAAGCUGGCAAAGGUGGGAGUGUGACUGUGUGGGCCCUACCAUGGACUGGCGUCCCAUCCAGGGCGUACCCUGCCUUACACAUGUUGCUUGCUGGGAUAGGCCCCAGCUCCACUGCAACACUGACUUGGAAGAAGCGGUCAGAAAAUGGAUGGAUUAUUAUGAAUCAAAAGAAAUAUCUAUCAGUGUUGAAAUCAAGUUUCAUUAAUGAGUUAGCUGAGUAGUUUUGGCUAUUCUUAACAGGUGUUUCUUCAUAAAGGAAGCUGCACUUCGAUAUUCAUUUGUGCAACUUGAAGGACACCAUUGCAUUUGUUUACAUUUUUAGAGAUGGAGAUGUUGGAAAUUAUUAUUUUAAUUAAUAGAAUUUGUAUUGUAGAUGGGCAUCACAAUGGCUUGGCAGUGGUGCUUAGAGCUUCCGAGUCUUGGGCUUGAUUCUGGGCAGGGGGAACCUUCUGUGUGGAGUCUGCAUGCUCUCCUUGUGUGCUUCCUUCCUCUCAGGGACCAGUAGGUUCAGGGCAACGUGGCUGGUUAACAAGGCCUGUAGGCUGACUGGCUGAGCUCAAUGACCUCUUGCCUGUGAGCUCAUUCCUCACAGCAGUGGGGAUACGAUUAAAUAAAAAAGGACAAAGUGGAGUUUAUCCAUGGUACAGAGAUUUGUAUCUGUGUACACAAGAAAACUAAAGACAGCCUGUUUGCUGCUGGAUCCAUCAGUAAUUAACAGGAGUCACCUGAAAGGUGUUUAACAAGCCAACACUUUAGUCUCAGGAGUGUCAGCUCAGUGCACAGGGCUUUGACGUUAGGCGAAAAAUAAAAUGAACUUUUGGUUUUCAAAAUAGAACACAGUACAAAAAAAAACAUCAAAGAGCUGGAGCUUCUUUUUGCAUCGUGUUCUAAUACAAUUUGCAUGCUAAACAGAAACAAAAAGGACAGGGAGGGGGGCUCAAUACACAUGUUUUGAAGAUUAAAAAAAAGGGUGUCACAGCCGAGUUUUAAGAGUGCAGACUCGAACCAGCUCUUUCAUGAAAACCUCAUCUUCACGGGACUACAGCAAAGGAUCGCAGCAAGGCGAUUCACGCUUGGUAGCUAAUAAUAAUAAUAAUAAUAAUAAUAAUAUUUGCUUACACUUACAUAGUGCUUUUCUGGACACUCCACUCAAAGCGCUUUACAGGUAAUGGGGAUCCCCUCCACCACCACCAGUGUGCAGCCCCACCUGGAUGCCCAGCUAAGGGUAAUUGACUGGAGCUGCCAGAACUAAGACCUGUGAGCAGCACAUCGAUAACCCUGAUGACUAUUUUUUUAUUCCAUUGCAAUUUUGCAGUAGCCAAGAUAUCCUGCUGAAUAACAUUAGACAGAAACAGCGUCUCCCCUGCCUCUCUGGGUGCACCACCCCGGCCUGGGGCCUGUUCGUUUCAGUGCAGGGCUGCGUGAGGAGUGUAAAAGGAACUGAAAAUGUCCCUUUACGGGGGCAGGCUUGUGCACACGCUCCUGUGGCGCUCAGGCGGAGACGUUUGACACAGAUCAGCAUCCCUUCACCUCCCAGGGACUUCCCAGCUUCUUCCUGUAACACCCAGUGAGGUACGGACCUGCACGGUAUGGAUCGGAGCUGAUA
Molecule: long non-coding RNA, 5048 nt
Filed under: Lepisosteus oculatus (spotted gar)
Lineage: Eukaryota; Metazoa; Chordata; Actinopteri; Semionotiformes; Lepisosteidae
Description: lncRNA (ENSLOCG00000021210.1)
Source: RNAcentral